This 1026-nucleotide long non-coding RNA is filed under the name Bos indicus x Bos taurus (hybrid cattle). Its description in RNAcentral is "lncRNA (ENSBIXG00000006988.1)". Lineage: Eukaryota; Metazoa; Chordata; Mammalia; Artiodactyla; Bovidae. The record is from RNAcentral.
AUUAGUUUGAAGUGCAGCUUGGGCAUCAGGAUCUUUAAAAACUCCCUGAAGUUAUACUAAGAUUUGCUUAAAGUAGAAAGCCACUGAUCUGAUUUACAGGUCAGGGUUUUAUGGUCAUUUUCAACUCCAGAGUUAUCUGUGCAUCUGUGUGGUCUUAAGUCAAUUAACCACUCUGGGUCUCUAUUUUAUUAUCUGUGAAAUUAGGAGUGGAAUACAAUGACUGCUACAGAUCCUUCCAGUCUUAAAAAUCUCUCCGAGACCACUGACUUCUAUUUAGAAGGCGUUUCAGAGCUCAAGUUAAUGUUUGCAGUUUCCUUCCUCAUCUUCAUCCUCUGAUGGUAUCUGUCUGAUCAUAGUCUCAACACAGAGGAGAAACUCUCCAGAAAAUCACCAGCCAAAGAGGCAGUAUUCUCUCUAGACAGAACAUUUGAUAAAGAAGGAUGUCAAGUGGAUAAACACAUUUUAUUGAAUUCCUUAAAGAUUUUUAAAAAUUACUUUGGAAUAGAUCACCCUAGCCUCAUGUAUUAAAUGACUUAGAGUAUGGUAAUUUUUUUUUUUUUUUUUUGCUAUAUGCAUUUACCACACUUAUCUUUAGUAUUUUUUAUUCAAAGAUGGUUUCACAAUUUUUAAAAUAUAAAAUGUAAACUAAAAUCAUUUGAUUUGCUUAAAUAUCAUAUGUCCAUUUUUUGUCCCUAAUUUUUAAUACUCUUAUGCCUGGAUUUCUAAGUUUAUGCCUGGAUUUCUAAGUUUAUACCAGGUCUUCUCAGAAGAGCUUUAGAGUAGGCCUCUGAGUUCUUUGAUGUGAACUCUGCUUUGAGCUUGGAAAUGUUUCCUUAGUAUAUUUGCUUCUCCACUGGCUCUGUAUCAGCUUGACUCCUCCCAAGUGUAUAUUGAAGGAGUUGUGCUAACUGGCAAAUUUGUUGUUCAUCGUUAUGUCAGGGCUAGGAAAGUGGGACCCUGUGAGUUCAAGCCUUCAGGUACUCUUUCUCUGCAAGAUUCCCCUCAAGGCUUAAUACUCUCAAUUCA